UAUCUCUGUAGAGUCUGCAUAUCAAUAAGCGGAGGAAAAGAAACUAACUAGGAUUCCCUUAGUAACGGCGAGUGAAGCGGGAAGAGCUCAAAUUUGAAAUCUUCAAGGUUUUACCUUGACGAAUUGUAGUUUAAAGAAGUGUUUUCUGUUGGAGUUUUGGUAAAAGUUCUUUGGAAUAGGACAUCAUAGAGGGUGAGAAUCCCGUAUUUGACCAUUAUUUCCAACUUUGUGAUACACUUUCAAAGAGUCGGAUUGUUUGGGAAUGCAGUCCAAAAUGGGUGGUAAAUUUCAUCUAAAGCUAAAUACUGGCGAGAGACCGAUAGCGAACAAGUACCGUGAGGGAAAGAUGAAAAGAACUUUGAAAAGAGAGUUAAACAGUACGUGAAAUUGUCAAUAGGGAAGCGUUUGACACCAGUGUUGUUUUCUCGAAAAUCAAUUAAAAAUGGCAGGAUUUUGUGUUGUAUUGACUUUAUCAGCUUUCUGCACUUUUUUCUUGUCUUUUUUAAUGCACUUUUCGUUUAACAAGUCCAACAUCAAUUUCUUUUGUUGUAAAAGGGUCAUUGGAAGGUGGCUUUCUUUUCGGAGAAAGUGUUUAUAGCCUUUGGCCUCUGCAAUCGGAGAGAUUGAGGUCUGCAGCGUAGAUCCUUCGGGGUUAGAUAGCAUUUGUGCUAAGUUAUAGCCCUUCAUAGACAACUUGUUGACUAUGAUCAGUCAUGUAGCUUACUCGCUUAUGUCUAUUUUACCUACGCUUAGGAUGUUGAUGUGAUACUGCGAGC
This 776-nucleotide ribosomal RNA is filed under the name uncultured Neocallimastigales. Its description in RNAcentral is "partial large subunit ribosomal RNA". It matches the Rfam family "Eukaryotic large subunit ribosomal RNA", at positions 24 to 645 of the family's 3401-position model. The record is from RNAcentral. Lineage: Eukaryota; Fungi; Neocallimastigomycota; Neocallimastigomycetes; Neocallimastigales.